AACGAACGCUGGCGGCAUGCCUAACACAUGCAAGUCGAACGAGACCUUCGGGUCUAGUGGCGCACGGGUGCGUAACGCGUGGGAACCUGCCCUUAGGUUCGGAAUAACUCCCCGAAAGGGGUGCUAAUACCGGAUAAUGUCUUCGGACCAAAGAUUUAUCGCCUUUGGAUGGGCCCGCGUUGGAUUAGCUAGUUGGUAGGGUAAAAGCCUACCAAGGCGACGAUCCAUAGCUGGUCUGAGAGGAUGAUCAGCCACACUGGGACUGAGACACGGCCCAGACGACGAGGGGGGGGAGCAGGGGGGAAUGUAGGAGAGGGGGAGAAAGCAUAGAGCAGCGAGGCGGGGGGAGUGAUGAAGCAGUGGGGGUUGUAGGGUUCGUUGACGGGAGAAGAAAAGGAGAGUGCCGGGGGAAGAAGACGCGGAUCAAGCCGGGCCAGCAGCGGCGGUAACAAGCGGAGGAGCACCCGUGGGAAC
This 474-nucleotide ribosomal RNA is filed under the name uncultured bacterium. Its description in RNAcentral is "partial 16S ribosomal RNA". The stretch from base 15 to 341 matches the Rfam family "Bacterial small subunit ribosomal RNA", at positions 42 to 397 of the family's 1533-position model. The record is from RNAcentral.